RNAcentral lists this ribosomal RNA (253 nucleotides) under uncultured bacterium. RNAcentral's name for it is "partial 16S ribosomal RNA". It matches the Rfam family "Bacterial small subunit ribosomal RNA", at positions 524 to 776 of the family's 1533-position model. The record is from RNAcentral.
UACAGAGGGUGCAAGCGUUGUUCGGAAUCAUUGGGCGUAAAGGGCGUGUAGGCGGUUUGUUAAGUCAUGUGUGAAAUCCCUCGGCUCAACCGGGGAACGACGCAUGAAACUGGCAAGCUAGAGUACCAAAGAGGGGGGUGGAAUUCCCGGUGUAGCGGUGAAAUGCGUAGAGAUCUGGAGGAACACCGGUGGCGAAGGCAGCCUUCUGGGCCAACACUGACGCUCAUGCACGAAAGCGUGGGGAGCAAACAGG